RNAcentral lists this ribosomal RNA (254 nucleotides) under uncultured bacterium. Its description in RNAcentral is "partial 16S ribosomal RNA". It matches the Rfam family "Bacterial small subunit ribosomal RNA", at positions 524 to 776 of the family's 1533-position model. The record is from RNAcentral.
UACGUAGGGGGCGAGCGUUGUCCGGAUUUAUUGGGCGUAAAGAGCUCGUAGGCGGUUGGGUAAGUCGGGUGUGAAAACUCAGGGCUCAACUCUGAGACGCCACUCGAUACUGCUCUGACUCGAGUCCGGUAGGGGAGCGUGGAAUUCCCGGUGUAGCGGUGAAAUGCGCAGAUAUCGGGAGGAACACCAGUGGCGAAGGCGGCGCUCUGGGCCGGAACUGACGCUGAUACGCGAAAGCCAGGGGAGCAAACGGG